GCAAGCUAGUGGAGAAAAUUGGUUGUUUGUGACUGAACCCUACUUUGUUCCCUCUCUAAACUCUAUAAAGCCACACACACACACACAUAAUGUUCUAGAGUGGUCCAUGUCACACACUUUGUAUGGCUAACAACCUAACUCAUUUUCUUCCCAGUAAAUCUCUCUUUUUUCAUUUUUUUCACUGUCGAUCCAUUUGAUGCUUGAUGCUUAAUUCAAUUCGCUUCUAUAUAUAUAUAUAUAUAUAUAUAUAUAUAUAUAUAUAUAUGUCAAGACCUAAUUAUACUAGCUAGCUGGCUACUUCGAUUGCAAGUCCUUUCCAUGCUUUUCCACAGCUUUCUUGAACUUCUUCUGCUUGAAUUUUGAUCCCCAGAAAUCAUAUGGUAAAUAAGUUCAAGAAAACUGUGGGAAAACAUGGUAAUUCUGGACUUUUUACUGCAAUCUCAGAAGGCCCCUUCUUCUGUGCUGCCGCAGAUUCACUUCUCCACCGAUCUCCAUGAAGUGGAGGGAUGUUGAUGAAGCCGGCCGUUGUUAGAAGGUUUAGCAAUAAUACGUAUAUGUUAUUUGGAGUAUUUAGUAUUUACCAUGGUAAUUAAAUCACUGUUAAUUAGUUACCAGUUACCACUACUGUUGGAAAUGCUCUUUAAUUCUUAAA
Molecule: long non-coding RNA, 652 nt
Organism: Salvia miltiorrhiza (redroot sage)
Lineage: Eukaryota; Viridiplantae; Streptophyta; Magnoliopsida; Lamiales; Lamiaceae
Exons: 2
Source: RefSeq, a predicted model, not a curated record